UACGAAGGGGGCUAGCGUUGUUCGGAAUCACUGGGCGUAAAGGGCGCGUAGGCGGCCGAUCAAGUCGGGGGUGAAAGCCUGUGGCUCAACCACAGAAUUGCCUUCGAUACUGUUUGGCUUGAGACCGGAAGAGGUAAGUGGAACUGCGAGUGUAGAGGUGAAAUUCGUAGAUAUUCGCAAGAACACCAGUGGCGAAGGCGGGUUACUGGUCCGGUACUGACGCUGAGGCGCGAAAGCGUGGGGAGCAAACAGG
This 253-nucleotide ribosomal RNA is filed under the name uncultured bacterium. Its description in RNAcentral is "partial 16S ribosomal RNA". It matches the Rfam family "Bacterial small subunit ribosomal RNA", at positions 524 to 776 of the family's 1533-position model. The record is from RNAcentral.